This 511-nucleotide ribosomal RNA is filed under the name Pimelia rotundipennis. RNAcentral's name for it is "partial 16S ribosomal RNA". The record is from RNAcentral. Lineage: Eukaryota; Metazoa; Arthropoda; Insecta; Coleoptera; Tenebrionidae.
UGUAAAAUUUCAAAGGUCGAACAGACCUAAAAUUCUAGCUUCUACACCAAAAUUUAAUUUUAAUCCAACAUCGAGGUCGCAAACUUUUUUAUCGAUAAGAACUCUCCAAAAAAAAUUACGCUGUUAUCCCUAAGGUAAUUUAAUCUUAUAAUCCAAAAAUAAGGAUCAAAUAUUCAUAAAUCAAUGUUAUAAACAAAAAAAAGUUAAUCCAAUUUUUCCAUCGCCCCAACGAAAUACUUAACUAAAACCAAUAAAAUAAAAUCCUUAACUACCAAAAUUAGUAAAAUAUAAAACUCUAUAGGGUCUUCUCGUCUUUAUAAAAAAUUUAAGCUUUUUCACUUAAAAAUGAAAUUCUAAACCAUUUACAUAGAGACAGUUAUUUUCUCAUCAAACCUUUCAUACCAGCUUUCAAUUAAAAAACUAAUGAUUAUGCUACCUUUGCACAGUCAAAAUACUGCGGCCAUUCAAAAAUCAUUGGGCAGGCCAGACUUUAAAUCAAAAUCAAAAAGAC